UACGAAGGGGGCUAGCGUUGUUCGGAAUCACUGGGCGUAAAGCGUACGUAGGCGGCUAUUCAAGUCAGAGGUGAAAGCCCAGGGCUUAACCCUGGAAAUGCCUUUGAGACUGGAUAGCUAGAGCACGGAAGAGGUAAGUGGAAUUCCGAGUGUAGAGGUGAAAUUCGUAGAUAUUCGGAGGAACACCCGUGGCGAAGGCGGCUUACUGGGCCGUUGCUGACGCUGAGGUACGAAAGCGUGGGGAUCAAACAGG
This 253-nucleotide ribosomal RNA is filed under the name uncultured bacterium. RNAcentral describes it as "partial 16S ribosomal RNA". It matches the Rfam family "Bacterial small subunit ribosomal RNA", at positions 524 to 776 of the family's 1533-position model. The record is from RNAcentral.